CGGGACGGGUGAGUAAUGUCUGGGAAACUGCCUGAUGGAGGGGGAUAACUACUGGAAACGGUAGCUAAUACCGCAUAACGUCGCAAGACCAAAGAGGGGGACCUUAGGGCCUCUUGCCAUCGGAUGUGCCCAGAUGGGAUUAGCUAGUAGGUAAGGUAACGGCUUACCUAGGCGACGAUCCCUAGCUGGUCUGAGAGGAUGAUCAGCCACACUGGGACUGAGACACGGCCCAG
This 233-nucleotide ribosomal RNA is filed under the name uncultured bacterium. Its description in RNAcentral is "partial 16S ribosomal RNA". It matches the Rfam family "Bacterial small subunit ribosomal RNA", at positions 100 to 334 of the family's 1533-position model. The record is from RNAcentral.